RNAcentral lists this ribosomal RNA (644 nucleotides) under uncultured bacterium. RNAcentral describes it as "bacterial SSU rRNA". It matches the Rfam family "Bacterial small subunit ribosomal RNA", at positions 84 to 724 of the family's 1533-position model. The record is from RNAcentral.
CCUGGCGGCGAGUGGCGAACGGGUGAGUAAUACAUCGGAACGUACCCAGAAGUGGGGGAUAACGUAGCGAAAGUUACGCUAAUACCGCAUACGUUCUACGGAAGAAAGNGGGGGAUCUUCGGACCUCNUGCUUUUGGAGCGGCCGAUGUCUGAUUAGCUAGUUGGUGAGGUAAAGGCUCACCAAGGCGACGAUCAGUAGCUGGUCUGAGAGGACGACCAGCCACACUGGGACUGAGACACGGCCCAGACUCCUACGGGAGGCAGCAGUGGGGAAUUUUGGACAAUGGGCGCAAGCCUGAUCCAGCAAUGCCGCGUGAGUGAAGAAGGCCUUCGGGUUGUAAAGCUCUUUUGUCAGGGAAGAAACGGGGUUGGCUAAUAUCCGNCCUUAAUGACGGUACCUGAAGAAUAAGCACCGGCUAACUACGUGCCAGCAGCCGCGGUAAUACGUAGGGUGCAAGCGUUAAUCGGAAUUACUGGGCGUAAAGCGUGCGCAGGCGGUUUUGUAAGUCUGACGUGAAAUCCCCGGGCUCAACCUGGGAAUUGCGUUGGAGACUGCAAGGCUGGAGUCUGGCAGAGGGGGGUAGAAUUCCACGUGUAGCAGUGAAAUGCGUAGAGAUGUGGAGGAACACCGAUGGCGAAGGCAG